GAACCUUCAGAGACCAUCAUCCUUCUCACCCUGCAGAUGCUGAACACAGAUGAAGGAUGCAGAUGUUGUGGAGGCCAGGAAACAGGAUUGUCCCGUUUGUGCCACAGCCAUACAUUUUGACCCUUCCAUGCUGUCUAUGCAUGCAAAAAAGAAUGUGCCUGGGCACACGACUGCAAAAAUAAAGAGCCAUUUUGUUUUACAUUGGAAAGACAUCCAAAGAAGAUGUACAAUGACUACUCAAUUCCAGAUGGCAUUUUAAUUGAAGAUCACUUUGUUGUUAAAACGCCUCCCUUGAUCUAGACUUAAGGAACAGAAUGUAUGAAACUGGCCAUAAAAAGGGUGGCCAGUCUAAACCCUAAAAGACCAUUCUUGCAUUAAAAAGAAAAUAAAACACUAACCAGAAUUAAAAAGUCUUAUACAUGUAUUUUUCUCUUAAAAUCUAAUGGAUUUUUAUUCUCCUACAAAAAAAGAAAGAGAGAGAAC
This 483-nucleotide long non-coding RNA is filed under the name Equus caballus (horse). Its description in RNAcentral is "lncRNA (ENSECAG00000039695.3)". The record is from RNAcentral. Lineage: Eukaryota; Metazoa; Chordata; Mammalia; Perissodactyla; Equidae.